This 674-nucleotide ribosomal RNA is filed under the name uncultured bacterium. Its description in RNAcentral is "bacterial SSU rRNA". It matches the Rfam family "Bacterial small subunit ribosomal RNA", at positions 8 to 728 of the family's 1533-position model. The record is from RNAcentral.
AGAGUUUGAUCCUGGCUCAGGACGAACGCUGGCGGCAGGCUUAACACAUGCAAGUCGAACGCUCUCUUCGGAGGGAGUGGCGCACGGGUGAGUAACACGUGGGAACCUACCCUGAGGUACGGAAUAACCAUUGGAAACGAUGGCUAAUACCGUAUGUCCCCUGCGGGGGAAAGAUUUAUCGCCUUGGGAUGGGCCCGCGGUCGAUUAGCUAGUUGGUGUGGUAAUGGCGCACCAAGGCGACGAUCGAUAGCUGGUCUGAGAGGAUGAUCAGCCACACUGGGACUGAGACACGGCCCAGACUCCUACGGGAGGCAGCAGUGGGGAAUAUUGGACAAUGGGCGCAAGCCUGAUCCAGCCAUGCCGCGUGAGUGAUGAAGGCCUUCGGGUUGUAAAGCUCUUUCAGGUGGGACGAUGAUGACGGUACCACCAGAAGAAGCCCCGGCUAACUUCGUGCCAGCAGCCGCGGUAAUACGAAGGGGGCUAGCGUUGUUCGGAAUCACUGGGCGUAAAGCGCGCGUAGGCGGUCCUGCCAGUCAGGGGUGAAAGCCCAGGGCUCAACCCUGGAACGGCCUUUGAUACUGCGGGACUUGAGUUCGGGAGAGGGGCAUGGAAUUCCCAGUGUAGAGGUGAAAUUCGUAGAUAUUGGGAAGAACACCAGUGGCGAAAGCGGUGCC